RNAcentral lists this ribosomal RNA (164 nucleotides) under Leucaena cuspidata. Its description in RNAcentral is "5.8S ribosomal RNA". The stretch from base 1 to 107 matches the Rfam family "5.8S ribosomal RNA", at positions 50 to 154 of the family's 154-position model. From Rfam's summary of the family: 5.8S ribosomal RNA (5.8S rRNA) is a component of the large subunit of the eukaryotic ribosome. Lineage: Eukaryota; Viridiplantae; Streptophyta; Magnoliopsida; Fabales; Fabaceae. The record is from RNAcentral.
GAAAUGCGAUACUUGGUGUGAAUUGCAGAAUCCCGUGAACCAUCGAGUCUUUGAACGCAAGUUGCGCCCGAAGCCAUUAGGCCGAGGGCACGUCUGCCUGGGUGUCACGCAACGUCGCCACCGCCCAUCCCACGGGCGCGGCGGAUGAUGGCUUCCCGGGAGCC